RNAcentral lists this ribosomal RNA (483 nucleotides) under Massilia soli. Its description in RNAcentral is "partial 23S ribosomal RNA". It matches the Rfam family "Bacterial large subunit ribosomal RNA", at positions 1132 to 1629 of the family's 2925-position model. Lineage: Bacteria; Pseudomonadati; Pseudomonadota; Betaproteobacteria; Burkholderiales; Oxalobacteraceae. The record is from RNAcentral.
GCGUAAUAGCUCACUGAUCGAGUCGUCCUGCGCGGAAGAUGUAACGGGGCUAAGCCAGUCACCGAAGCUGCGGAUAUCCGCAAGGAUAUGGUAGGAGAGCGUUCUGUAAGCCUGUGAAGGUGUCUUGUAAAGGAUGCUGGAGGUAUCAGAAGUGCGAAUGCUGACAUGAGUAGCGAUAAUGGGGGUGAAAAGCCCCCACGCCGUAAGCCCAAGGUUUCCUGUUCAACGUUCAUCGGAGCAGGGUGAGUCGGCCCCUAAGGCGAGGCAGAGAUGCGUAGCUGAUGGGAAGCAGGUUAAUAUUCCUGCACCGUCGUAUGAUGCGAUGGGGGGACGGAUCGCGGAAGGUUGUCUGACUGUUGGAAUAGUCAGUUUCUGCUUCAUAGAAGGCGCUUAGGCAAAUCCGGGCGCGUAAUUCAAGGGAGUGGGACGAGCGGCCUUGUGCUGCGAAGCAAUCGGAAGUGGUUCCAAGAAAAGCCUCUAAGC